AGGAUGAACGCUGGCGGCGUGCCUAACACAUGCAAGUCGAACGUCCUGUCUCGCAAGAGGCAGGGAGUGGCGGACGGGUGAGUACCACGUGGGUCAUCUACCGUGAGGUGAGGAAUACCGGCGAGAAAUCGCCGACAAGACCGCAUAGGCUCGAUGCAAGUCGAGCAAAGCUCUUUCGAGAGAGGGAGCGCCACACGAGGAGCCUGCGCCCGAUUAGCUAGCUGGUGGAGUAACGGUUCACCAGGGCGACGAUCGGUAGCUGGUCUGAGAGGACGAUCAGCCACACUGGGAUUGAGAACGGCCCAGACUCCUACGGGGGGCAGCAGUGAGGAAUUUUCGCAAUGGGGGCAACCCUGAACGAGCAACGCCGCGUGCAGGAAGAAGGUUUUCGGAUCGUAAACUGUCUUUUCGUCGGGGAAGAGAACGGACGGUACCCGAGGAAUCAGCCCGGCUAACUACGUGCCAGCAGCCGCGGU
RNAcentral lists this ribosomal RNA (476 nucleotides) under uncultured bacterium. Its description in RNAcentral is "SSU rRNA". It matches the Rfam family "Bacterial small subunit ribosomal RNA", at positions 26 to 521 of the family's 1533-position model. The record is from RNAcentral.